This 1140-nucleotide long non-coding RNA is filed under the name Mytilus galloprovincialis (Mediterranean mussel). Lineage: Eukaryota; Metazoa; Mollusca; Bivalvia; Mytilida; Mytilidae. The record is from RNAcentral.
GCAUCACAUUUUAUUUCAAUACUUAAUGGAAUUCAAAGGUUACAAGUUUGAGUUAACUCAAUUAACUAGGACAUUCAAAAUCACAAUAUUGCCAAAUUUGAGACACUGUUACACAGUUUACAGAGAUGAUGGAAUUUAUCUCAAAACAUCCAUUUUAACAUUCAAACUUUAAGGCAAUCUAAGAAUUCAAAAUAUACCCACUUUUUACACCACCCUUUAUGUUUAUUAUCUAGAACUCUGUUUACAAUUUUUGUUUUCAUAUUAUUUUUUGUUAUUUUUCUACGUUUUUUUUUUUUUUUACAGAGCUCUAGAUAAUAAAAAUAUGGGAUGCAUGUCUAAGGUUAGAGGUAUAAGCAAAGACAUUCAAAAUAAGAAUAAUGCAAAUCUAUGACACUUUUAGACUGUAAUAAAUAAAGAACAAUAGGUUUUAUCUCUAAAUAUGUAAAAUCAAAAGAAUUGUACGUCCAAUUAAACAUUUUCGUUUUGAAUUUCAUAAAUAUCUUUGAUGAAAAAAAGAAAAUUUAAAAUAUGCCCACUUUUUACACCACCCUUAAUGUUUAUUAUCUAGAACUCUGUUUACAAUUUUUGUUUUCAUAUUAUUUUUUGUUAUUUUUUCGACAUGGUUUUUUUUUUUUUUUUUUUUUUUACAGAGCUCUAGAUAAUAAAAAUAUGGGAUGCAUGUCUAAGGUUAGAGGGAUAAGCAAAGACAUUCAAAAUAAGAAUAAUGCAAAUCUAUGACACUUUUAGACUGUAAUAAAUAAAGAACAAUAGGUUUUGUCUCUAAAUAUGUAAAAUCAAAAGAAUUGUACGUCCAAUUAAACAUUCUCGUUUUGAAUUUCAUAAAUAUAUUUGAUGAAAAAAAGAAAAUUUAAAAUAUGCCCACUUUUUACACCACCCUUAAUGUUUUUAUUAUUAUCUAGAACUCUGUUUUACAAAUUUUGUUUUCAUAUUAUUUUUUGUUAUUUUUCUACAGUUUUUUUUUUUUUUUUUUUUUUUUUUUUUACAAGAGCUCUAGAUAAUAAAAAUAUGGGAUGCAUGUCUAAGGUUAGAGGUAUAAGCAAAAUAAAGACAUUCAAAAUAAGAAUAAUGCAAAUCUAUGACACUUUUAGACUGCAAUAAAUAAAGAACAAUAGGUUUUGU